RNAcentral lists this ribosomal RNA (429 nucleotides) under Pseudomonadota bacterium. RNAcentral describes it as "Proteobacteria bacterium partial 16S ribosomal RNA". It matches the Rfam family "Bacterial small subunit ribosomal RNA", at positions 355 to 776 of the family's 1533-position model. Lineage: Bacteria; Pseudomonadati; Pseudomonadota. The record is from RNAcentral.
UGGGGAAUAUUGGACAAUUGGCGAAAGCCUGAUCCAGCCAUGCCGCGUGUGUGAAGAAGGUCUUCGGAUUGUAAAGCACUUUAAGUUGGGAGGAAGGGCAGUAAGCGAAUACCUUGCUGUUUUGACGUUACCGACAGAAUAAGCACCGGCUAACUCUGUGCCAGCAGCCGCGGUAAUACAGAGGGUGCAAGCGUUAAUCGGAAUUACUGGGCGUAAAGCGCGCGUAGGUGGUUCGUUAAGUUGAAUGUGAAAGCCCCGGGCUCAACCUGGGAACUGCAUCCAAAACUGGCGAGCUAGAGUAGGGCAGAGGGUGGUGGAAUUUCCUGUGUAGCGGUGAAAUGCGUAGAUAUAGGAAGGAACACCAGUGGCGAAGGCGACCACCUGGGCUCAUACUGACACUGAGGUGCGAAAGCGUGGGGAGCAAACAGG